AUUGAACGCUGGCGGCAGGCUUAACACAUGCAAGUCGAGCGGUAGCACAGGGGAGCUUGCUCCCUGGGUGACGAGCGGCGGACGGGUGAGUAAUGUCUGGAAAACUGCCUGAUGGAGGGGGAUAACUACUGGAAACGGUAGCUAAUACCGCAUAACGUCGCAAGACCAAAGAGGGGGACCUUCGGGCCUCUUGCCAUCAGAUGUGCCCAGAUGGGAUUAGCUAGUAGGUGGGGUAAUGGCUCACCUAGGCGACGAUCCCUAGCUGGUCUGAGAGGAUGACCAGCCACACUGGAACUGAGACACGGUCCAGACUCCUACGGGAGGCAGCAGUGGGGAAUAUUGCACAAUGGGCGCAAGCCUGAUGCAGCCAUGCCGCGUGUGUGAAGAAGGCCUUCGGGUUGUAAAGCACUUUCAGCGAGGAGGAAGGUGGUGAGCUUAAUACGUUCAUCAAUUGACGUUACUCGCAGAAGAAGCACCGGCUAACUCCGUG
This 490-nucleotide ribosomal RNA is filed under the name uncultured bacterium. RNAcentral describes it as "partial 16S ribosomal RNA". It matches the Rfam family "Bacterial small subunit ribosomal RNA", at positions 30 to 507 of the family's 1533-position model. The record is from RNAcentral.